GAGAAGAGAAGAGAAGAGAAGAGAGAAAGAAACAAGAGCACUUUAUGGUGUCUCUUCUUAGAAGGGGACUAAUCCCAUUAUGAAGAACCUACCUUCAUAGCUAAAUCAUCUCUUCCCAAAGAUCCCAUCUCCAAAUGCUAAGAAAGAAUCAGUCAUGUGAACAACCGUUCUUGAUCUCAGAUUGGACAAAUUUUAACUGAUGUAAAAAGGAAGACCCCAGAUUUGUGCUUUCCAAUAUGGUAGCCACCAGCCACAUGUGCAGCCAUGGGGAUGACACUGAAGAUGAGAGCAGCAAGUUCACUGACAGUGUUGAGGAGGAGGCCGCACGUGGAAGAGCCACCUGCAGUGACAUCAGUGCCAGAACUCCUUGGGUGUCUGAACAAGGGGACUAAUAGAAGAAACACAGACCUGCCUUGUUCUCCCAAGGAAGACCUAUUCCAAGAGGAGGGGAUAUGCACAGGAGACCUUGCUCCAGACCCCAGAGCCUGGACCCUGGAACUGCCCUCCCAGCUAUGC
This is a long non-coding RNA of Lepus europaeus (European hare), 516 nucleotides long. RefSeq lists it as uncharacterized. The transcript is spliced from 4 exons. NCBI's taxonomy places the organism in Eukaryota, Metazoa, Chordata, Mammalia, Lagomorpha, Leporidae. The record is from RefSeq and is a predicted model, not a curated record.